CAGCUACCUUCGAAUUCAUGCCGGACUCCAAUCUUGGCAACGGAUCUCGAGCGAUGGGAUUGAGCCCCCAAUCCUGACAAGACCCAUUGGCAUGGCUUCAUUUAUUCGUUGCAACGCAUUCAAGUUUGCUGUUGAUUAACAGGUGGAUGAAGAAGGCAAUUCUUGCAUUUUAUAGAGUCCCGAGCAGUCACAUGGCAAUGAUCGCCAAGCCUCUCAUAACAUGGAGCCACCUCAGAAUUGCACCAAAGGCAACCCUGUCGGCAACCCUGUCGUGACGAUGACACCUAAUGUGCCGCUCUUCGUGCAGAUUGCCGCUGGAUGCCUUGUUCUCACUUCGGCCUCGUGAACAACGAUUUCGACAAGCGACGGAUGCUGCUGGCGUGGCGCUGAAUUGGGAACUCCGUUGCCGCUUCGUUUCGACAACGUUUUCGGUACCUUUUCUACGCCCCCAACAAUCUCAGCUGCUGCACAUGUGCAUGAUGCCUACGGAGGAUCGCGCAAAGCUACGAUGACGUCACUCACCGAUAAGUGGAUCGCCUCGCCGUUGGGUUUAAAAGGACUACCAGUGCCUGCUUUCUUCAGUGGACACGGCAGCACUGUCGUGACGAUGACACCUAAUGUGCCGCUCUUCGUGCAGAGCUAAAACAAAAUGUCUUUUAUUUCAAUUUGAUCUUUUGACCUAGGAAGCCAUUAUCUGGUGCUGUGUACAGCAAGCACAUGCUUCGGGCAAGGAGGGAGGGAGCCAGCACCAUAUCUACAUAAGCAAGAACAUCAGUGCUGAAAAUAAACAUUUUCUGUUUA
This is a long non-coding RNA of Dermacentor andersoni, 801 nucleotides long. RefSeq lists it as uncharacterized. The record is from RefSeq and is a predicted model, not a curated record. NCBI's taxonomy places the organism in Eukaryota, Metazoa, Arthropoda, Arachnida, Ixodida, Ixodidae.